CAGCCGCCGCGGUAAUACCAGCUCCGCGAGUGGUCGGGACGAUUAUUGGGCCUAAAGCGUCCGUAGCCGGCCUAGCAAGUCUCUGGUUAAACUUCAGGGCUUAACCUUGAGAUUGCUGGAGAUACUGCUAGGCUAGGGGGCGGGAGAGGUUGAGGGUACUUCACGGGUAGGGGCGAAAUCCUAUAAUCCGUGAAGGACCACCAGUGGCGAAGGCGCUCAACUGGAACGCGCCCGACGGUGAGGGACGAAAGCCAGGGGAGCAAAGGGGAUUAGAUACCCCCGUAGUCCUGGCUGUAAACGAUGCGGGCUAGGUGUUGGGUUGGCUUCGUGCCAACUCGGUGCCGCAGUGAAGGCGAUAAGCCCGCCGCCUGGGAAGUACGGCUGCAAGGCUGAAACUUAAAGGAAUUGGCGGGGGAGCACCACAAGGGGUGAAGCCUGCGGCUUAAUUGGAGUCAACGCCGGGAAUCUUACCGGGAGCGACAGUAGUAUGAAGGCCAAGCUGACGACUUUGCUAGACAGACUGAGAGGUGGUGCAUGGCC
RNAcentral lists this ribosomal RNA (540 nucleotides) under uncultured archaeon. RNAcentral's name for it is "bacterial SSU rRNA". It matches the Rfam family "Archaeal small subunit ribosomal RNA", at positions 459 to 999 of the family's 1478-position model. The record is from RNAcentral.